Molecule: ribosomal RNA, 804 nt
Filed under: Triticum aestivum (bread wheat)
Lineage: Eukaryota; Viridiplantae; Streptophyta; Magnoliopsida; Poales; Poaceae
Description: partial small subunit ribosomal RNA
Source: RNAcentral
AUGGUGAAGAACUUCAACAAGUUCUACAAGAGUAGAAGCAAAGAUAGAAGCUUCAAGUCAAGGUCCUACAAUGACAAAAGAUCUUCUAGUCAAGAGCGAAACUGCUACAACUGUGGAAGACCCGGACACUUCUCCAAUGUGUGUAUGGCUCCCUACAAGAGAAGAGAAGAUUCUCCAAAAAGAAGAAGCAAAGAAUCAUCACCAAGAGAGAGAAGGAGUAGAGAUGAUCGUUAUGAACGAAGAUACUCAUGGAGAAGCAAGGAUUCGGAAAGGAAGGAAAAAUCAUCAAGAAGCUACACAAGACGAAGACAUCAAGCUCAUGUUGGUGAAUGGGUAUCCGGCUCUGACUCCGACAGCCACUCCGAAAGAAGUUAUCACUCCGACUCCGAAGAUACUCAAGAUGAAGGUGUUGCCGGUCUAGCACUUGUGUCAACCAACUCCUACGACAUAUUUGACUCACCAAAUGAAGGAAUUGGAAGAUGCUUCAUGGCCAAAGGUCCUAAGGGAAAGGAGUGUACAAAAGCCUUGCUGGGAGUAAGCAAUUCGAGGAAAUUGUGCGCAAGCAAGGAAUGCACCGGAAGAAUCAAGGUGUUGGUUUUGAACGAAAGUUCAAUGCCAAUGGAGUUGAGUGGGAAGAAGAUCAAUACCCCAAGACAAAGUUUAUUCCUCAACAAGAGAAGUAUGAUACUUCUUUCAAGGGGACACAAGCUCAAGAUGAUAUUCCACCACAAGACUACAAGCAAAAAGGCAAGGACAAGCUUCAAGAGGAAAUUGAUGCAUUUGAAGAAGCUCCAAAGACCUUAG